Columba livia (rock pigeon) is the source of this 23572-nucleotide long non-coding RNA. RefSeq lists it as uncharacterized. Lineage: Eukaryota; Metazoa; Chordata; Aves; Columbiformes; Columbidae. The transcript has 3 exons. The record is from RefSeq and is a predicted model, not a curated record.
GAGAGUCCUGCUGCCGCCACGAAGGGCCCAUCCCGGCUCCCGUAGAAUCCAGCCGCCGCGUCCGAUUGGUUGGGCGGACCAAAACAACGGGCAUCACGUCACCUGAGGGGGGUGACCGGCCGCGGCGUGAGGCGGCGGGGGCGGCGCAGGAUCCCCCGCCGCGCCGCCCCGCCCCGCCCCGCGCAGGGAUCCCACCUCCGCCCCGCCGCGCCCGCAGGUAAGGGCUGCCCUCGCCCCCCGCGCCGCCCCGCCCGUCGCGGGGAGCCCCGCGCUGUGGAAACACGGGGGUUCCCGGAGGCGGGGAACGCGCUGCUCCCGGGAUCGCCCCCGACAGGAAGGGCCGCCGCGGCCGCGGCGGGUCUCCCCGGCUCCCCCCGCUCCCCGCCGCCGCUCACAUCUGCGCCGUCUUCGGAACAUGGGCGCCGCGCUCCGGAGCUGUCCAGCGGCGCCUCCCGCCCGCCGCCGCCGCCCUGCAAAACACAGCGCCGCGUUCGCUGCCCGCCGCCGCCCUGGCGGGCCUGCGCCUCCCGCCGUCCGCGCCGCGGCCUCGGGCCGGGGCCUGCGCGGGCCGCCGGAGGAAACCGGGACGCGGGAAUCCCUCCCCGGCACAUGGCGGGAAGCGGGGCGGGGGGCUCUUGUGCCGGCCGCGCCUGCCCGCUGAUGGAGAAGGGGCAGCCGGCCGGCGGGCUGCGAGGCCGCCGCCCGGGGCACUACAGUGGCUGGUUGAGGGGCUGGAGAGCUGCUCCGGCGGCUCAGCAGGAGCUUUACCGUGAAACGGGAUCGGUGCGGCUGAGUCGCUGCAUCUGGCGCCCGUUUCCUGGCACGCAAUGCCAAUGCAGUCCUGAGGCUGGUCGCCUGCUACCAUUUUGCCUUUUCCCCUUCCGUCCUUUCCCUCCCAAACUCUCGCUGAAUAAUUCAGUCCUGAAGCUCCUUCAGGCAGAGUAAUGGCUGAACCAGGUAGUCUCUUUUCUGCAUUUAUUUAAGGGAAGAUUCUUUCACGGAAGAACCAUGAAAACGGAACAAGAUAAAUACUGUUGAGCAAAACUGUAUCAAUAGCAAGAGGAACCUCAAUAGAUGCAGGAAAAAAAUGAUUUCUGAGAGGAAAGAACACUGGAACAUUUGAAGACACAGCUAGUGGCUAGUCAUAUGAAAAGCUCACGUAAUGACAUCCAAUGGACAUGCAACACCUACAGGCUACAAGAAAAGGUAUUAGAAAGCUAUUUUGGCUGUUAUCCUAUUUCCCUUACUCAUGCCAGACACCUACUAAAGUCACUGAGAAUUCUGCACUCAUAAAAAUGUCAAAAAAUACAGAAAGAUAGUAAUGAAACAAAAGGCAUGAAAAAAAGCUUAGGAAAUUCCAUUCUGUAACAGUAUUUUUAACUCAAACCGUAUUCUGCACAAGACUAGGAUUUUCUAGAAGGCACUAAAGGAAAUGGCCUUGUCCAGUUCCAAAAUUGCAAACAGAAACCUAGCUCAGCGUAUACACAGAAGAUGCUAUUCAGUGAAAGCAGGGUCACAUUAAUAAAAACAGAGGUAACACUGGCAGCAGUAGGGUAUUACGAGAUCAUUCAAAGGUAUCCAUGCAGCAAUAAAAAUGUUUAGUGAGACAACACCAAAAUGACUGCAGCACAGCUGCCAGGACAACGGCGUGGAAACUAACCAUAUGAGCCAUGUGUGUAAAUUACCUUUUACAUACCAUCUGGCAAGGUUUUGCUCACCAGAUGUCCCUGAUAUUCACCCCAGCAACUUCUGUUGUCAGGUAGUUCUAUGUCAUCACUGGAAUCCCACCCCUGCUGGACCUGUGCUAAUUUCAAAGACCUUUUGACAAUAUUCCACAGCAGUGGGGGGAAGGAGAAGAAACACUAAGUGACUCCAUGCAGAUAGUACAGCUACAUCUUGGAAGGAGGCACGCUUUACUGUUUCUACUUUUGAUUUUAUACUGUUCUGCUAAUCUACACUUUAUUCUGCUUCUCCAGCAUACCACCAAUGAAAAUGCAGAUUCAUUCCCAUUUUAAAUCUUCAUCUAUUAUCUGGACCAUAUAAGGUACAAAAGAUAAGGGCACUGGAUUGACAGCUCUAAAAUGCUAAACAAAAUUUUCCGACAUGGGGAUGCCUUAAUUUGUGGGGAUGCAGCUUAAGAAAUAUCUGUCUAAGAAACAUCUUGCUGCACACCUUACCUUGCAUCAAGGAGCCUUCCUCAAGGAAUGGAUUUUUUUCCAUUUUUUGCUAACAAAACUUUUUAUUACUAUUAAACGUUGAAAAUAUUGCAUGGGGUCCACAAAACAGCCAGGAAAACUAUCAUUUUUCCAACCUUUCUGGAUAUUUUUGUAGUACUUGGAGAUCACACAAACCUGAUGAUUUCCUUUCUUGCCCCUACUUUUUUCCUCAUUAUCAAGCAAGGGAUACUGCCACAUGUGAGGAAUUUCUUUGCUAGCUAAUUGCAUCAGCAUGAAUACUAUUUUGCACAGCUGUUACAGGUGCUCAGCAGGUGACUAUUACAUAAUGUUUAAUCUGACUAUCUUUUAUUAUUCUCACAAAUCGGUGCAGUUUUGUAACAGAACUUUAACUGAGUACAUUUACAUAAAUUACAACAUCAUGCAAUAUUUCUACUUCAGCCUAUGCAAUAGUAAACACUGACAUUGUGUGUUGGGUUAUCAAGUGUGUAAGCUUAUGUUUAACCUUAACUAUUUGAAGAAUUUUGACCCAUUGAGUGUGGUGAGACAGUGCUUAUACCUAAAUAUAAGAUCAUACCUUGCGAAGUUGGUGGUGUGCAAAUUGAAGAUGUUAGCAGCACUUUUCCUCUCCAUAAAAUCUGUCAUUUCUGAUCCAUGUAGCAAUUGAUUCUAAAUAAUUAAAUUUAAUUUGCCCCUAUUUGAAAAAUAUUUUUUCCAUUGAUCCUUUGCUAUCACUGCUUCCAUUUUACCAUGAGAACGUAGUUACUAUGGAUUUGCACUGGCGUUGUAUUUGGAAAAUUCAUUUUAGUUUACUUAAUAAUAUGAUCCCUUAUUAGGCUGUAAAAUGUGAAAGAUGGACUUUGCUUUUAUCAGGUGACAAAUGUGUGGUGUGUAUGAUUGCUUUCCAAUGCACUGUAAUUCUUCCAGUCGGUAGCCCUCCUAAUUCAAAACAAGCAUAAAGUGUAAGGCUGCUCCUUUGGUUGUGUUUACUGGGGCUUUUUUUUUUUUCUGCAGUCCUGAUACCCCGAAGGAUUCUACAGUUUCCACAACACAUUGAAAUCCCUUGUCACAAAAGUCCAUUUGCUCGUUGUUGUCAUCAUCAUACCUAAACUCUUUUGGAUACAUUCGUAAAACACACAAAUGUCAAUGUAUGUUGUGGUCCUGUUUAUAGAAAUCACAUUUCUUAAACAAAAAAAGGAAAAUGUAUACAUUUGCAGAACAAACGGAAGCAGGUAAAAUAUGAAAGGCAAUGUCCAAUUUUAUGUUACUCACAGUCAUAGUUUCUACUGGAUAUACACUUAGUUGUAUUUGUAUGGUUGUUAUUCUAAGUUAUGAGAUGGGUGACUUGAGGAAUGAGUUCGGGAGAGAUGAAUGGGGCAGUCACUGAAGAAAGAGCAUCUCACUCCUUCCUUCCUAGCUAGGUUUAUCUGCAGCACCUUAUUUUCUCCACUCCCCUUCCUUCCCCAUUACCCCUCCUUCUUGCCCGUCCCUACUGCAGAGGAGAUGAGACACUCUUACAGUACUUGACAGCACCUUUGGGUCAGGUUGUGGGAGACAGGCAAGAGUUGUGCGGCUCAGCUUUUGUCAAAGUAGGGAGUUAUUCAAGGCAUCUCUGCUUCAAGAUGGCUCUGGCUUGAUAAGCUCAGCGAAUAAACAACUGUUUGAAGAGAUACUCCAGAAACUGCUGGGAAGAUCUAGGAAAUUUUCACUCUCUGAAGUAAAAUUCUUUGCACUUCUCUACUUUAUCCCUUAUAUUUCCAUACUACUUGACUGAAAAAUAACUAUGUUUUUGACAAAAAGACUAGGCAGUUUUAAUUACAAAAACUAAGUUUCAGGAUAAAGAGCUGAAGACUUCUCACAUAGCCCGUAAAACCUUAUCCCAUUCAGAAAACAUUUCUGUAGAAUGUUUUCUUCCUUCCAUUCUGUAGAAUGCUUCCUUCCAGCUGGCUAAAAGCCAUAUCUGCAACCCAAUAUAUCAGAUUAGUAGCGCUUGUAUUAGCAAAGUGACAUUUAAAAAUACAUAACACUGUAGACUGCUUUAAAAAGUGAACAUAACCAGACCAUUUCUCAAAGUGAAAACUACAAUUUUUAAAAAUUCUGCUUACAACUUCACACAUUCAAAAGAUAGUCUACAUUUGAGAAGUCUGAUGCAUAAAUGGGAAACAUGUGGACAAAAUGGUUUCUUCACUCCUGACCAGCAUUUUAGAUUCUUUACCUUUUUAGAAGGUCAAAACCAAGUUUGAAGUGGAAAAGAUCUUCAGCUUUAAUUAUGAAAUCUCUGCUGUAACUGUUAUAAAGUAUGUCCUAGAAGUUCUUUUUCAGACUAAUUUUCCUAAUAUUAAAAAUGUAUCAGUGUUCACCUGACCACCUCUGCAGAGGUCAAAAACGUGGAUUAUAGGAGUCAGCAACCCAGUAUGCAGAGCUUGAGCUAGCCAGGAGUAUGAACUGAGGACAGCGAUGCAACCUGCAGACCAACACUUAACUGAUUGAUGACUCUCCUAUUCAGAACUCUUUUCUGAUGGGGUAGGAGGCUAAGCAUUUUCUUGCAAACACCAUCAGCAGUUGUGUUCUCAUCUUAAAUGUAAGCUAAUUUCUUCUCCACAUAAACACAGUUGAGGAAAAAGGCUGUUUUCUGCUCUGCUGGGCUGGAUGGAUUUGCAUGCACUGUCCAUCUCGGAGAGCAGGUGCGAAAAAUGAAGGUGUAUUGUAGGCGGGGAAAGGGACAACCAGUUGUUUUCCUUACAGUUGUCUAGUCAUGAAGUGCAAGAUGAUUCAUUGGGUCAGACAGAACUAGAGUACAAAAGACACACGGAUCUAUCUAAACAAAAAACAGUCAUUCUUGUCAGAGUAGGAGCAGGAAUCCCCCUCUAAGAAAUGAAAAUAGACCCUUUCACAGAUUCUUCUCCAAGAGCAUUGUGCAAAUACCCACCAAACCCCUGCAACAUCUACCUCUGUCCCCUUUGGAGGAGCCACGAGAGCCAGUUGACCAUCUCUGGACUUACCCAUGUUCUGGCUUCUGUGGCUGUUGGGGGCAUAGUAAGUGUUAGAGUGCUUAGGGGCACACACGGCACUUUGAAUCCUAGAUCUUAAAGCUACUGUCAGAAUUGGCCUGAAGCCUUGCGGCUCAAAUGGCAUUUGCUAGAAAUUUCUAAGAGUCUCUAAGUGUUUAUUCUUACCUUCAAGAAUCACUUAUACUUUAAAAUCCCUCAAACAGUUGUCACUUGUGCAUGAAAAUUCAGCAUUUUAUCUCUUAAGUAUCUAGGAAAAGGAGGAUCCACUGCAAUCUAAUGUCAUCAUUUUAAUUUGUCAUUCACUUAACAUUCAGCUGUCAGUUUGGAUGAGAUUUUGUCCUGCUGCCCUUCCCAUGCACAUGCUGCAUAACUGACAGGACUGUCAUUCCAAGAGGUGAAGCUGCUAUGUGACUGAUAGUUUAAAGCAAUUUUAAGUGUCUGCAUGUGCUCUUUACUAACUCUGGAAAGCCUCUUCAUAUUUGGCAAUUUCUUUUUCAAAUUCAUCAAGCUUUUUAUGAUUUAUGCUUUAUUAACAUGUUUUGUGUAGCAGAAAAAGGAAAAACUACUUUAUAUUUGAUUUAUGGUAUCCACAAUGUUAUUUAUAACAUCAGAAGUGUGUAAUUAAUGAAAAAAAAGAAGAAAGGUGCAUUGUAAGAGGUUUGGCUGUGUUUAUUCACAAAAACUGCCUAGACUAUUUUUACCCUAGUCUGCUCAAAACUUACUCUUUAAAAUCCUGAAGAAAACUUACCAAAUCAGUAUUCAGUGGUAGCUAAAAGGACAUACACAUUUGUCCCUCAAAUUUUCCUAUAUUCUAGACCCAGUGGCUAGUUUUACAAAAGUCAGUAGUUUCAUUCUACUUUGUUUUAUAUUUUUGACUGUUGUGAAUGUAGACAGGAUAUCUAAUUUACUAUUGAAUGGUAUGACUUUGCAGAAAGUACACUCCAGAUUGUACUUGCCUAUUAGAUUAGUCAGUGCUACCAUGCAAAAAAAAAGCAAUAUCAAAAAAAAUAGGUAAGUUUGCAGAACUGUGUGCUGUGGCAAUUCCAUAAAGUCUAGAAGUAUUUAUGAUGAGGAAUAAAAAUAACAUACUGCUAAAUACGUUUGCGAUGCAAAUUAAAAUGAACUGUCACCUUUUUGCAUGUCUGGUUGAAACUGCAGUUCCUCCAAAGAUGGAUAAUCAUUUGGGAUAAUUUUCCCCUAACAGAUACAUUAAAAAAAAGGCCUGUUCCCAAGCUCUUAUAUGACAGAAGUAAAUAAUCCGAAAUUUUACUGGUAAAAAUAAAUAAAAACCCAGCUCCGCUUUCUCAAAUAAUCAGCUGUUAUUCCGUGAUCCCAGCUCACGACCUUCUUAUGUUCCCUUCUGUGCGCGAAGGAAUUAGAACAGAAAAUGUUGUAUUUCUCCUUCUGAGGCAGUUACAUUUAACAUUAAAUCAGUCACAGAAUGCAGUCACACCUUUGAAGUCUGGCAGCUAAUACUGAAAGCUGGAAACCAUCGUUCUAUUCUUGUACCAAUGAAUAGCUAUCUACCCAGUCCAAAAAAAUACCCGAAGUGUGGCACAAGAAUGUCUCUGUUUAGAACACCUUUUGCUGCCCCGCGGGGCUUUUUCCUCCAGGCAAAGCCAGAAGGGCACUGAAAGCGAGCAGUGUCCUGAGUGCCUGAGUGACUUAGUCUAACAAUAGGCCUACUGAAAAAGGGAGAGAAUAAUGCCACCUACUACUAUCAAAUUAUGUGUUCAUCUAUUUCCCUUUUAUUGCAACAGCUAAACCACUUUUUUUUUUUUCCAUUUUAAUUACAUUAUAUGACAUGUAGGAUGUUUCUGGUUUCAUCAGGGAUGAAAAAGACCUCUUAAAUCUAAUUUGAUGUGAACCUAAACUUCCUAAUUACCCUGCUGAAAAAUAAAUUAUUCACAGUUUUACUCCUUCCAACUUUGUGCAGCUAUGUUUCAAGUGUAAUGCUUUCAUUUCUACAGGCAAGUAUUUACACAGACCCAAGGCAUGUGCCAGUGAAUGUUUGUUCAUGUCUUUCUACAAAAAAUCUCUUUGUAGAUGUAAAUGUAUAUUUUGUAGAUGUAGCCUGAAUGUUUGCUUUUGAAAACUGUCCUAGAAGACAGUGGCAGUUGUAAUUGCAGAAUCCAGGUCAGGAUGAUAAACCUGCAGCAAGUGAAAUGGAGGAAGCAUUAAUAAAAAGCCAUACAAUUGUAGGUGCCAUUUUCUAGUGAAAUGUAAUGGCUUACAUCUGCAGAAAGGUGGCCGCUGUAUGUUAGGCACAAACUCUGCCAAUAUAUUUGCAUCUACACGUGCAGCUGUAACUUCAGGGCUGCAAGCAGGCUGGGAAGUUAGGUGCUAAAGCACUGGAAAUGGAUGCCCAGUUCCCACACUGGAGGGAAGAGUGACACUUCCACCUAUUAUGAGGCAAAGCAUGAACUUGCAUGAAAAUGACCCUUAGUAUGCUCAUAAGCAGUUUAUUUGUAAGUGGCUAAAAGACAUUCUAGUGGAUCAGUCUUGCUUUUUGGUCUCUGAUCUGUACUAUAAAAUAUCUCAUGAGAGUGGAGCUAGAAAUGAAAAUAAGACAGCAGUCACGGUGAAGAAAUAUGGGAACUACAGACAUUAACUGUGUGAGCUGGAAAGAAAGGGAAUAAAAAAAGCUGCAAUUCCAAAAUAGAUGUGACAGCAGAUGUUACCAAAAAAAAAAAAAAAUCUGAGGCAUGGGAAUUGAAAAAUGUAAUUGCAAGAAUGAGAGGUGGUAUUUUGGCCAAAAAUACAAUAUACAUAGAAAAGAAAUUGUCUAAAUUCAAUGUGCCUCCAGCACUGAAUUUCUUAAAAUGCAAGAACAUCAGUAAUUAAAUGAUAAUGAUACAUUCUGGGAACAGAUUUUAUCCACGUAGAAUACAAAUAUCAUUUUGGCCUAAGUCCUGAACAAUGAAAGUUGGCUUGCUCAUGUAAGAUACGUGCUCUUUUAAGAACAGUUCUACCAGCAAGAAGAUCUUGUCAUCUUUACAAACUUGAUCUAUGUCCUCAGCAGAUGGAGGAGGUGGCUGACACAUCCCUUCUUCUGGUGCUUGGCCUUACAAGGCUGGUAAGGCCUGCAACCACCACGCCUGCCCUCUUCAUGAUCUGUGGGGAGAAGGCAGCACCCAGUCUCUGCAUUUAGAUAAGUACCCUAUCCCUGGUGGGAGCUCAUCAGAGAUGCAGUAGACAGGGCUUGGCAAUAGAUACAGGGAUAAUGUGACCCCCCUGAUAAUGCUUACAAGGGCAGGGGAACUGGGAUGUCUUCAAGCUGACUCUGAGUGGCUUGGGUGGUUGGUGCAGAAAGAUGGGUCCAUGUGGAGGGAGGGACAAGCAUAGCUUCUGGUAGGAGCCCCUUUGGUUCUUCCUGUAGGGGAGGGGCUGCCUGUCUGAUCUCAGCUCUGCCCCAUUGUAGUUUUAGCAGUGAUGUCUAGGAGAUCAUCGGUUGAGUCUCUCUUCCAAGGUCUCUUGUUUGAAAUGCUAGAUAUAAAUCUAAAUUGAUAACCCAACAUCUUGUAAUCUCUCCUAGCUAAAAACUCAGGCCAAGCAAGACAGUAAUUUGCAAAGGUUCACCUUUUAUGAAAAAAAAAGAAUCCCAUUAUAAAUUUUGAAUAUUCCAAUUUCUGAAAUUUCAUUUACUUGCUGCUAACUUUUCUGGUAAGAGAGAGAAGACCAGAUCCUGCUCUUUUUUCUGUAACAUAUUUUGGCUUUAGGCCCUCUUGUUUAAAACACAUUUUAAAACAUUUUUUUCUUAUAACAUUGUGGGGUGCAGAUACUUGGAAAGCCGCUCCAAAAAGCUAAGAAGUAAGGAACACAUGUAGUAGGUUUUUUUCACAAAUGAUUUCUAUGCCUUGCCAACUGAAAUUACUGCUUUCUCAAACUCCUUUGGUACUAAAGUGCUCUUCCUGAAAGGAUAUGCCCAGUACAGCACUUCAAAGAAGGCAACUACUGCAUUGCCUUCGAAGUUAUUAAGCUAUUUUCCUUGUUGCUGUUUGUCCUAUCACUGAGGCAGCUUUGGCUGCAGCUGCGUAUAAAAGCUGUUCACUGGGCUACCUGCAGUGACAGUUAAUAUUCCUCCCUCAGGUGACUUUGUAAAACAAGUUUAAAAAUUGUUCAUUUAUUACUACAUUAAAGCAGUAGUUUCCUAAGGUUCCUGAUUUCUUAUUAUUUGUUGAAGCCAAGCUUAUCAAGAAUGUCCAAGCAAAAAACUCAUUAAUGACCAGCCCACUCAAAAAUACUUUUUUUCUGUGAAGGCAUGUGCAAAGAUUAACCCACCUUACUUUUCAGGAAACUUACAAAUGUGUGAGUUUUUGUAAAUGUAUGUGUGACAGAGCACUGUAGUCAAGGUAACAGAUUAGUUUCUGCUGUACCUGAGAAGAAUAUGUCUCAAGCACUCAGCAAGUUGUACCAGACUCAUGGAGGGAAUCUCCCAAAUCUAUUGGAAUGUCUUAGGUUACACAUUUUGCCAAACUGACAAUUAGAUCAGGUGCUGAGCAAGUCUGAAAGUUAAGCCAAUUAAUAUGAUACUGUCAGAUUUAGUAGUCUUUCUUAAUUCUAAUACAAAAGUUUAUUUUUUGGUUCUAGGCAAAAGAAGGGUAUGAGUAUUCCAGGUCUAAAGAAAACAGUGGCACAUUGGCUACUUUUCAUAGUGGCAUUCAUUCUCUUGUAGCAUUAAUGUGAGAGUAUUAAAUAGAUAUAGACAUCAUAUUAAAAAGUAGGAUUGCUGGAAUUACGUGAAUUCAGGGAGGAGAGAAUAAAAGAGGUGAUAAAUACUGAAAUCAGAUGUGCUGGAAAACUGGAAGGUACUUUCUCGGUAGCAUAUGACAGUGGACACAAAUAAGACAUGGUAGAUCAGAAGAACUUUCAAAGAGAAGCCUGCAAAAUUGGUUUCUAAAAUUUGAAGAACUCUGCACAAUAUUAUUUGGUUUUACUACCUGCUGUAGUGGUCUUGCAUUUUUGUGUAAAAAGGUUGCAUAAGUAUGUUUACUGCAUGAACAUGUUCUAUAUGUUCUUGAUUGUAUGUGAAUGAAUGAAACAGGCAAGGGGAUUCAAAGCAGAAGAUUGUCUCUACUUCUUGUAGAAAGCAAAUCCUUAAUUUAGUUUUAUAUAGUUGUCUGGCACAAUAAAGCUUCUUAGGAAUCUCCAAAAAUAUAGUUACCUGAUAACAAUUUUGUGUAAGUCUAGAAAUUUCCUAUGCUAGGUGGUCAUCCCUUUACACAUAUUUUACUACAGAGAACCUCUCUCAUUUUGCCUAACUGAAGGAAAAUUAAAGAAUAAGGUCACUGAUUAAUUUUUAAGAUGUUUAACAUCAAUAGGUUUAACUCUGAAUAAAUAGUUAAUGGUAAUGAAUAAUCAUAUUUGCCUGAUAGCGUUUUUUCCCUACAACUCCUGCAUAUAGGAAUAAUAUUUAUUGCAUUACCAUUUCCAGUCCAUCAGGGAUGUAAACAUCCACUUUUUACAAUAAACUAGAAUUAUUCUCCUUUGACAAGAGGAAUGUCAGCACUUUUAUAACUUGAGUAAAAUAUCUUUUCAUUGUCUUCAUUUUCUCUGAAUACCUGCAUUCUCUGAGUACCUCAAGAGUGAACUUUUGUGGGGUCAUUUUUUUGCCACUAAAUUCCCCAUAUUCAGGCAGAUUUUUCCAGUGAUCCAGUUUAGCACUAAGUACAUGAGCAAACUGGGAUGAGAAUGUGUCAUCAAGCUGAUACUUGAGAAAUUAUACAGGAUCUGUGACAAACAGAGAGCCAUCCUGGGCUUUAUCAAAAGGAGCAUGGCCAGCAGGCUGAGGGAGGUGAUUCUCUCCCUCUGCUCUGCUCUGGUGAGACCCCAUCUGGAGUAUUGCAUUCAGCUCUGGGACAUUCAACAUUAGAAGGACAUGGUCCUGCUGGAGCAAGUCCAGAGGAGGGCCAUGAAGAUGAUCAGAGGGUUGGAGCACCUCUCCUAUGAAGACAAGUUGAGAGAGUUGGGCUUGUUCAGCCUGGAGAAGGCUCCAGAAAGACUGUAUAGCAACCUUCAAGUAACUAAAGGGGACCUACCAGAUAAUCGAAGAGGGAAUUUUUACAAGGGCAUGUAGUGAUAGGAAAAGGGGUAAUGGCUUAAAACUGAAAGAGGGUAGAUUUAGAUUAGAUAUAAGGAAGAAAUUCUUCCCCAUGCGGGUGGUGAGACACUGGAACAGGCUGCCCAGAGAAGUUGUGGAUGCACCAUUCCUGGAAGUGUUCAAGGCCAGGUUGGAAGGGCCUUGAGCAACCUGAUCUGGUGAAAGUGUCCCAGCCCAUUAAAGAGAGGGCCGACUAGAUGAUCUUUAGUGUCCCUUCUAAGAAGAAACUGCCAGAAAAUUAUCCAGAUUAAGAGCUCUACAAUAGCUCACAAUCUUAUCUUUGAAACCGUGUUUACCUAGUUUUAGAAAUUAAUUUUAUAAGGUGUCAGACAAAUACAUGUUAUAUAUGCUGGAAUACCCUCUCUCAUAUCAACAUUUGUGUGUUUCGAAUAGCUGCUCAGUAGCUUACAUAUUAUAAAUUCCUGGUUCCAGAAUAUUUCCUACUAGACAAAUUUUGUAAUCAUGAUUUACAUUAUUUGUCUCUCACCUAAGUAUAUCUUUACAAUAACUGUGAAAAAUGAUGAAAUCUAUUAUACUAAAACAUAAGUGAUACAACUCUAAAGCAUUUAACCAGUGAAACUCGUCACUACUGAACACCCACACAAUUCCACAGAGCUUCACUUAACCUCCAUGACAGGAAGUAGAGGUUCGAAAACUGUGUGCCACCUCAGUGAUAUAAAUAAAUGCUAUGUUUUUCAACACUAUGACAGUUGUUGGAUAUCUAGCCACUCAUAUAAUUCAGAGCCUUUAGUUGCCAAUUACCACUAGAAACUUUGCACAAUACACUGGAAGAGUCAUGUAACUGUGAAAUCGAGAAGCGAAAUGUGAACUUGAUCUAGCCAGGCAGCAACUGCCUGGCACUGCAUGAAAUAAGAUGCCACCAUACAGUACACAGUAUAGGCUCCCAGAUGCAAACUGUUUCCUGGGGCACAGUAUUUAUCUCCAUUCCCUGCAAAACAGAGGGGUGGUAGAAAAGGGAGGAGGAGGAUGCAGUGGUGCCUGUGCCAUGUUUCACCUGCUCAAUACAUGUCCAAGAUGCAAAACAAAUAGAGACAAUAUCUGAAGUGCAUCUCUUAGCUCAAUGCUUUAGCCAUUAAGCUAGAUGUUUUUUUGAAAUAACACUCUUUACAGAAUACGCUUUAAAUGCUCAUUAGUACAGGGACUGGAAUCCAGCCUUCCAAGUCUCAAAUUACUUCCUCAGCCAUUAGUCUGUAGAGCUUUGUGAUGGCUAUUUAAUUAUUCUAUUCAACAGUAAGAGUAAUUGCGAAAACCUUACCCUAUAUUCUGGCAAUUAGAGAGUUCAGCUCAGAGGGAAUUAAGAUUAUAUCACACAGGAGAGAUAUACAGGAUGGUCUCUUGCAUAAUAGAGCACAGCCCUAGCCCCUAAGAUUGUUUAAUAAGUGAAUAUGUGGGAACAGGUGGCAGCACUGGAGUUGGCCAUGAUGAUGAAAAAGGUAGAAGAAAUACUGAAGAUCAGUCUGUUCUGGAGACAUAGACACAAGCUGGGGCCUCACCUAAUUGUUACAUGAAAGACUUGAUUCCUGUCCAACCCCAAAACCAAGUGACUUAAGAAUUUAACUAAUAGAAGGGAAAUAAUCUGUAUAAAUAAGCAGCAGAUAUGAUGGAGGCCUUGAAGCCUUGAGUCCUCCUCUUACAUCUUUCAACAAGUCUCCCAUACAGAAGGGAUCCAGACAGGCCAUUCGAAUACCUAUUCCAUGUUGAUUUCUCAGUAAAAGAGGAUAUGCGAAAAACAAAUACAGGACAGAGUAUCAGUGAGUAUUUACCUAUGCAUUUGGUGAUUUGAGAUGAACUAACUGAAUUACUAACUGCAAAAUAUAUAACCUCUUUCUGAAGACCACAUCACCACCAGACAGCUAGCUGAUGGCCAGCAUGAUGCCAGGUUUCAUGGGAAGGUGACACUAUAGACCCAUAAACUUGAUGAUGUGACUGCAAAACUGAGUAAAAACUAUAAUAAUAAAAGAUGGAAGUAAUACACACAGGGAUCAAUAUGAUUUUGUGGACGAAUCAACUUUUUUUUCUUCCUCUUAAGAAGGGGUCCUAUCUAAAAGUCCAGUGUAUUUCAUGAAGAAAUAACCACAUUUUUGUUAAAAAAGGAGAACCAUUUCAUACACUUUGAUUUUCAAAAGGCGGUUUAGUGAGGCCCUGAAAUCAAGUUGUCCUUGUAGUAAAUAAUAAUCACUCUUUUUCCACUGUAUAUUUUUUAAGCAUUAAACUAGACUGUUACUACAUUAUUUUGUUUACUGAGGCAUAAUAGCAAGCCACUUCAUCAAAAUUUUUCAAACUCAUUAAUUCUAACAGUGUUUUCUCUGCGUAUACGCUUUAAGAUUAUAUUUGUAAAUACUAAGAGGAUGCAUAGCAGCCCUUGGAAUCUCACUGCUCUUCCACCAAGGCCCUACUGUAAAUACAGUAAAAAAAUGAAAAUAGCAAUUGAAUAUGAACAAACCUUGAAUUAAAAAACAGCAUAUCUUUAUUUUGCACUUUGUGAGUGUGUGAAUCAUGUGGCAGGAAUACCCCUGCUGAAAUGACUAGGUGACUAAUCAGCAGGCCAAGAAGAGAGACUGCUCCAUUAAACCAUUAAAGGAACUAAAUCCUGAAAAAGCUUUUUUUGCUUUGAUUUUAAGGGAAGACUACUCAGGAUAAUCAGAGCAAUUAGAUUUUAAAGUGAACAAUAAAUAGCCUUUAUUCAAAAGUGAUAGCUUCAUCAAGGAUGAUACACAGAAACGUUUCUCCUCCUCUUUCAUACAGUGUAUUUUUUUCUGCCUUUCCCUGUCAUCCUAUGUGCAUAUAGUAGCAAUAGCUUGAGUUUUAUACAUUGCGGGCUGAUCUAAUUUCAAAAAAAGGUGGAGAAUAGGGUCUUUGAGUUACUUUUUGGCCGACAGCUGGUCCAUACUUUUAAUGCAACAUUUUUCUUCAUCUUCAAAAAAGCAAUCUUAUAACUAAAAUCUUUUUGUCAUAGGGAAAAAAAAAAAAAAAGAAGUUUCAGAUGUUAAGGAUUUUUUUUUCCUUUCCCAUUGCACUCUAUCUCCUUCAGUAAACUGGAUUUGGGAAGCAGUUUUAGCUUUCAAUAUUGAUUUCAGUUAUACAAAAAGGGAAGACACCGAAGGAUUACUGAAAGAGAAACAGGAAAAGAGGAACAGUGUUGAGAAACGCUGAUCUUACCAAAAGAGAAACACCAGUGUACUGAAGAUGUUCAGUUAAUGAAAGAUAAGCCAAAUUCACUUUGUAUAUUCAUUUCUCCUUUGAAUUCCCUCUCCUUCAUCUAACAGGAAUAGCAUUAACAGUCUACAUGAAAAUAAUUGUGUACAUCUUGUGACCUUGAGGAAGAAUAAAGGAGAAAUAAAGAAACUGAACUUCAACAUUUGCAGCUGGAGUAUUUAUAUCCAAUCUAUAAAUAUAUAGGACAUUGUUUUGUUCUCCCUUUGUUUUAUUGUACUCUCCCACAUGGCUAAGCAAAAAACAAAAAAGGAUCUAUUUUAGAUUUAGUUACAGCUUGCGGCACUCAGUAUUGUGGAAAAGACAGCUUUCCACUUCAGUACUGCUUUUCAUAAUAUUUGUACUUUGCAGAUGAGUUACAAAAGCUUUGAUUUUAAUUUGGGGGAGAGGAAUUGGAAAUUACUGAGGAAUCAGAGAACUGGAUAAUCCUUCUAGGUCUCUUCUUCAUAAACUGGAUUGAGAGCUGGGUGACACAGUGUGUUUCUUAUAGCAUAAUACAGAUAACCAUACCUCGUGUUAAUUUGCUUAAUUCAUUGGUCUGCUUCCUGAGAAGUGCUUUGCUAAGGAAACUAAUCUUUCUAUAUCUUUUAAGCCUUUUUUUUUUUUUUUCAGAUACAGCGUUAAACUGCAGCUGAUUCGAGGAGAAAUAUCAAUCCCUAUGUAAAAUCCCUGUCAGAGCUGUGUUUGAACCUGCCUUUUAGUAUGCUGUUUUCUGAAUUAGGGAAGCCAAAUUCCUCACCUCAAAAUCAAAUAUUCAAUAGGAUCAAAUGGCUGUAACAGUUAAGUGAAAAGAUAUUAAAUUCAACACGUGCUAGGUCAAACCUCUAUGUACAGCAACAUCAGCUACUCAACCCUCUCUGUAUCUAUCACGUUUAGCACACUAUGUUAUGAAGCCACUUUGGUGCCACAGUGCAGAGCAUUACAAAAACCUAACUUUCAGGUAGUGGAACCGAGCCUUAAGCACUUAGGCUCCCUGUGCAGGAGAAAGAGGCACUUCCAAACACGAUCCACAAGAACUAACUAAUAGGUAAAUAUAAGUAUAAAAAUGUACUUUGUUUGUGCCUGUUCCCUAGGUUAGUAAGCAUCAAAGGUGAGCACCUCUCUCUACUUUGAAUUCAGAGCCUGAAACCUCUCCUGAAGCCUGAAACCUCUCAGUGUAAAAGAAAGAGGGAAACAGGAACAGCAUCUUCCCACCUACAUCAUAGUUUUGGGAUUAGAAACUCAUCUCCUACCUUUUGGAAAAUCUCCCAGACAAAUAUUUUACUGUUUGUAUCUCUCCCGUGCCAAAGCAUUGAAUAAAGUCUUUGAGGAUAUAAAAGAAAAUAAGUGUGACUAUACAGCAUACAGGAUCCAACAUUCAGUGAGGCAGGGAUACCUGAUGUCCAAGACUCAAUAUUUGCCCUGUAGCAGUCCAGAGCAUCACCUCCAUCUCCACUUCAAGAUGUGUUUUGAACAAAGCAGUGUCUGCAGUUACAUUUCAUGAAAAGUGCAGUCCUCUAUAUUUUGCACAACCUGUGCUGUAUGAAAGUCUAACAGACCACUACCUCAAAGACGCUGAUGGAGUAAUAUCUAAUUUCUGCAUCCAGGUGAGAUUAUGUGUUAACUGUUCAGCAAAGAUAAGACAAUGCUUCUUGGUACAGGAAACAUUUAGAGGCAGAACCUAAGGCUGGUGUGGAUUAGGUUCUAUGGAUUAGCUCUGAACAGACUCCGGAAGAGCUCCCAGAUGAAAAUUAGUCUUUGUGAAUAUUUGUCAUGUUUUGCUGGUUGCUUUCAGGUGGACAAGGAGAAGAAAGGGUAUAAAAAGCCCUACCAUCCUGUGUAUCUAUGGACUGACACAACAGGAAAGCACAGCUGCAGUCUUGAGCUGCCUUGUGCUGCCAUUUCUUGGCAUGCCUACACCUCUCCAGUGAUUCAGAGUCUGCCUACGUGUCCCAUGUGACUGGUCCCUAAUAAGAAAGAAAAGACAAAAUAGCUGUCGUUCAUUUGAGGUCUCUUUUUUUGUGAUUCAUCAAGAAAAGCUUUAGGAUUUUGUAAAAAUAUGUUCAAGUGAGAUGGCUACAUCUCAACAAUGAUUCUGUCUCUGCUAGUGACCCCACAGGGUUGAAUUUUAAGUAAUUCUGUGUAUUUUACUAUAUUCAUCUUUCUAGCUGCUUUUUUUUUCCCCCAUGAGAAUUGUAGAUAUGUUAGUGCAAUAGAUACAAAAUGAACAAGCAAAAUUGUUGCGAGCACAUUAUUCUCAGCUAGGAAGCACAAAUUGCUUGUCCAGCCAGCUUAGGUGAGUCCCACAGCCUUGGUCCCUGCACUUACAGUCUCAGGGUGAGCAGCAGAAGGAAGGAAGCCCAAGUCUGUCUGACCCCAUUGGUAUAAAAAUGCCCUAAGUCUCACUGCUCUCCAAGGCUUCUGUCUUAACCAAGCAUCCUCUUGUAGUAACUUGUGAUUCACGGUGUGGAGUUGCCUUUCUGAGGUAAGAACCUCUCUCCUUUUGGGGAAAAAAAAAAAAAAAAAGCUGUCAAAAAAUAAAGAUAAAAUGCAGUUUAGAACAGGUUUGGGGAGGUUGUGGUUUUUUGUUGGUGUUUUUGGUUUUUGUGGUUUGUUUGUGGUUGGUUUUGUUUGGUUUGGGGUUUUUUUGCAGAACUUGGAUUCCACAUCUGCUCUGUGUAAGGUAAUUCUCAGGGAGAGCACAGGUCACCUUGGUCUGAGUGACAGAUGGCACCCUCCGGCUUUCCUCCUGAAGCUAGCCCACAACUUGUAAAGAAAACAAAAUUCAGACUGAUUUAAUAUUUCCUUGCUUGUUCUUUCAUAAGCAAUUAAAGCAAAUGCAUUUAAAGUUUUUAGUAAAUGAAGAAUAGCAGGUCAAAAAUACAUAUUAGCAAUUACUGAAGUUGACUAUAUAUAUACCUUAUGUUAUCAGCUAUAGAAAUCACUUUUUUCCAGUUGGUAAAAAAGUUGGACCUCAUCAUCCUUGUCAAACUAAUAAGAGUAUGUUUCUUGAUUCCUUUUCUAUAUACUUUUCAUGACUUCUGCUGUGUAGUCACAGGAGUGCAGGUAUGUGUAACUACAAAUACAUGGAAGACAAAGAAAAUGUUUACUUAACAAAAUCUUACAAACAGACAGAAGUAUGUAAAAAGUUGGAUCACCACCUGAGUAUUUUAUUUGUGUUGUUCUUUGCAAGAAACAGUGGUGAUGCAGCAUAAUACAGCUGCAUAAUGAAAGCUAGAAAUGCAGGCAUUUAGAAUGCAUGGAAGAUGUUACUGUAAUGGUUAUUACAGCAGAGAUUUGCAUGUCAGUGAAGCAAUUCAGCCAAAGAAAGUUUUCUAGCCAUUAAAACAGACACUGAUGAGGUGAAAUUUCUUUCCUGUAUGUGCUAAAUUUCAUAUCUUUCUGUUUAUAUCUUCUGCAUUCUCUGGAAUGCCCUAGAAAAUCUCAAAGGGAAGAAUCACAUUUAUUUGGAACAACAGAUGUCAUUCUUCACUUAUGCUCUCUAGUGCUUCUUUAUCAUGUGAUUUCUCAGUGCUCCUCUCUGUGCCAUGUGUCUUAGCGAAACUCUGGCCCCAGCACUCAGCCAGAGCAGCAGAGAUGUGUGCUGUGUGUGCCUUCAACAUGGACCUUCACCUGGUGUUCAUACAGAAAUGCUCCUUUCUUCUCAGCUGUUUUCCUGCUUGGUUCAUGAAAACUGACGUGUUUUUUACAUCAUGCAGUAAGAGUGUUGUAAUUUCCAUUUUCACUUUAGCAACCAUACCAUAGACAGGCAUCUUUCUCUAUGUGGGCCGGUUCCUAAUCCUGCCUUCCAGUAACAUGGUAAGUCUGUAAGCCACAAAACCAGUGCAGUUAUUUUGCUCACAUCUCAAGACUUGCAUGAGUUGUUCCUAGUGCCAAAUAGAGCCUUAGCACACCUGAAGGCAAAGCAAGGCUAUGACUGUAUGUGGUCCACUCCUUCUUCUUCAUCUGCAGUAAAAUCACUAGAGCAACAAAAUUACUGAAGGUCAGGAGGCCACUUAUCAGCCUGAAAAGAUCCUGUUUCCUUUUGGUUGCUAUUUGUGCAUGUUUAGAUAGAUUAAUGAGAAUGUUCUGGUUGAAAUCCUGCCUGUCAUACCUAUGUGAUUAAUCACAUUAUGAGCUAAACCUUGGGAAGGGCUAAACACUUGAAAGCAUAAUUCACUGUGUCUUGAUAUAAUACUUAUUUGUAGUUCUUGUUGAUUUUAAGCUAUUGAGUUCAGUACCUUUCAUCAAUAAGGCUGGAUUUCACCCUAAAUAUUUGCCUCUAAAAAUAAAAUCAAUUGUAAAUGGAUUAAACUCAGUGUCAUCCAAGCUGUAGUCCCCAAGAUAGAUAAAUAUUUGAUUAUGUGAUUUGUAGUUGUGCUCUGGCAUUCCCCUAAACUAUUCUGAAGUGAUAAAGAUGAAACACCUUCGCCUGUCAGUUAAUUUUUGGCAUCCUUCUAAACUGAAAAGGAAACUAAAAUGUUUCGGAAUUAAAUUUGAUAACAUAAUGAAAAGAAUUAAUAUUUACAAAUAGGCAAACACAGGGCUUGACAACUGUAAUUCUUGUGCCAUUCAAUAUAAUCAGUUCGUGCCUCUUCAGAAGCAAAAAGUCAAAUCUUCUUUGUAUAAAAAGCUCCCUUCAGCGAGCGGGUAGCAUAAUACCAAGCUUCCAGAACAUCCCUGCACUACCUGGUUCAUUUUUUACAAUUAAGGCUUCAUUUUUAAGAGGCAGUGUUCUAUUCUCUCAGCAUUCAAGUAAUCCGUGGCUCCUGUAUGGUUCCCAAGCCUCCAUUAUCUAUUACUUUACUAUUAUUCUCCCUGUAUUAGGCAUACAAAGCAUGAAGUGCAGGCACACAUGAGGCUAGGGAAUUCUUCAUAUUAUCUUUUGAUAAAUAAGUGAAAAAAGUAUUAACACAGGAUGGGAGUAUUAAAAUAAUCAACAGCCUUAUUGUAUGACAGCAUGGUAGCCAUAUUAAUAGGAAGAUUCAUAUGAUUACACAUGCACUGCCCUUUAAUGAUAUUCUGAGAAAUUUAUCAAGCAGGUGAACACUAAAACUGUCUGGCAGAGCAUGUAGGUACUACAUCGGGUAUAUUCCUUGAGCAUUUUUGCAUUCACAAAACUGUAAGCUGAAGAGACUACCAUGAUGCUUUUACUCACAAACAUUUCUGCAUCUUCUAUGAAAUUACCUCACUUAAUACAAGUUGAAGAACAGAAAAAGGUUCUCGCUUCACACAAGAUUCCUAAAGAUGAUUAUUCAGUUUUAAGAAAUCUGUAGUGGCUGCCAAAAGUGUUAGAAACCAAGUGCAACAGGUUCUGUUCAUUGUUAAAGAUGUUGUUUCAUGCAGGUAAUGCAAUCAUUCCAGAGGUGAUAACCCAGAGCAGAGUUUAGCCUUCACAAAAGGGCUUCUGCUACCUAAGAUUGCUGUAACUCAGUUAACAAAAGAUGUGUGACAUUCUCUAGUACCCUUCUAAGAGAGGCAAUAUAUUAAUUAAACUGAACAAAAGGCUGGAAAACAAGCUGUUCCUAUAGCUGAAGUAUGGGAUGCAGUGGAAGUAUUUCAGUGAACAGGAAUUUCAGUCACUUGGAUUUAAGCAGUUCUUAUUAUAUUGUGAUUUGACUAAGGUGGAAAAAGUUUCAGACCGAGGUCUAACCCUAAGUAUUUUUGUCAGUACAAUAUCUCACGCAUUUCUCAUAAGUUGCAUUCCUUGUCGCCACAGGUUGGACUAGAAGCAUAUUAGUCCAGUUUUGGCAAUAAUAGCAAGAAAAGCAUCACCCAUUCUUAGGGUGAUACCCAGCAGCCAGACAAGCCAACUGCGUAGAUCCAGGAAAGAAUCCAGAAUUCCUUCCUCUUGACAAGACCAAAGUUGUUGAGAAGUUUAAGCAACAGACCAUUUGGGCAAGAAAGAAACGUUAGAAACAACAAAAAAGCCAACUUCUUGAGAUUUUUUUAGAAUAUGCUGUAAGUCAAAACAAAGUUGGUUACUCUUUUGUUGUAUAUUAUGAAAAGAAAUAAUGUGACAAAUUCUACAAUCUGUAUUUACUGAAACAUAAGAAUUGCCACUUCCCCCACUAAAAGAGAGAUAGAAAUUGUAUUUCUUUGUACAAGAAAAAAAUAGGGUUGACAUGUACACAGUUAAGAGAAUACUAAGCUUUAAGAAAUGGCGUUCCCUAAAUAUCUGUUUCUGCCUCUGACCACCUUCCGUGUAACCCAGUCUUGCUGUCUAAGAUUCAUGGAAAUAUUAAAUUAACUGUCAUGUAGUUUUAAUAUGAACUUGUUUAAUGUGUUUGUGCAACGGGGAACAUAGAACUCAGGUGUUAUGCAUUACUGCCUGUACCAAUUAUUAAAAAAACUGAUUUAAAAAGGGACAAAUUAAAAAAAUAUGCAUUGUUAUUUAACUCUUACUUGACGAAAAGCUGAAUUUUGGUAGAAACAAACAACCAGAGCCUAAACUGUGUGUAUUAAGUAGUACUAAGCUCUUUUACUGCCAGGAUAGUAAUUAUGAUAGGGCUAGAUGGGUGCAAACCAUGGCUGAGGCUGGAAGCAACUCUGAUAGCAACAGGAAGUCAUCAUAUGCAGGUGAAACAGAAAGAAAAAAAAAAAGGCAACUGUUUUUCCACUCUAUACUCCUUUCCCAGUAUUUCUUUAUUCUGCCAGUCAUGGACAGAAACAGCUAUUACAUCUAUUUUCAAUGUAUCUUGAGGUAUUUGUCUUUAAAACAUGGCUCACGGCUCUCCCUUUCAGUCCAUUGUUCAUUCUGAAACAGUACAUAGAACUAUGUCACCCCUCAGCUCUGAAAUGAGCAAGGUGGACACAAGACCACACGUGAACCAAGGAUACGCAACUAGGAAAAUAACAACAGAGCAGAAUGUAACUAAGGGAGCCUGGUGCAAACUGACAGGUUGUUUACAUUGACAGAGUAUGAAAUAUACAGCUACCAAGAAAAUAUGAAAACAGAGACUCUGCUCAGAUUUUACUGUGGGAUCAAUCCUUACUUAAGGAUGAGAUAUAUUCCUGAGUAACCUCUUUACAUUUCCCAAAGGAUUUUUUCACUAAUAAGCCAAUAUAUCUCUUUGUUACAGCUCUUUCCUGCAACACAUAAAAUUGAGUUUUACCUGAUAUAUCUCUGUAGGCUGAAUUCAUCAGGCUUAUAUAAUGCUAGUAGAGAGCCAAAGAGCAAUCUAGCCAUCAAUGGCCUUCUAUCAUGGAAAACAGAGAUGAAAUAGACUUCAAGAUGUCUUCCAGUCAAUUUACUUAGCCCAUUACCUUCUGGCACUCCUGCUGACAUCAGUUUGCCUAUCCUAAAAGCCACAAGUAAGGGGAAAUACAUUGCAGUCUCCUCAAAGGAUGAAAAACAAAAACAAAACAACACAAAACAAAAACUUUGCAAGCUUUAUAGAUAGACAAAAGACAAUAGAUGCAAAAUCUGUUACUUUAGGGAGGGUGUUGACUGUCACUCCUGACCUUUUUGUAAGGAUACUGCAGAAAAAACAGUCCAGGUGGAAGCUACCAUGAAACAAGUACAGAAGUGACUCGAAAAAUAAUAGUAGUUCUUAAUGGCUCAAUAUCAAAUGGCAAAAUUCUACCAAAUGCAUUUUCACAUUAAUGAUCCAAAUCCUUGAGUAGACAGUGCACUUAAUAAGUUUGUGUGUCUGUCAGGUGGAAAAGAUUGCACUUACUUUGGCAGAUAAAGAGCAUUUAAAAUGGUCUUGGCAACUCAAGAAAAUAAUCCGUGUACAACAUUAUGUUUCUGUGGGAAUAAUCAACUACAGAAGUUCAACUUGAAGAACAUCUAUGAAGCAGUUUUGCAGGAAAGGAGCUGGGGAUGGAAUGACUUACAGACCAAAAAGGCUUUACCAACUCAUACUUUUGCAAUGAGGCAUCAUCUGAGGUAUUAAUACAACUAUCGAUAGUCAAGAGUCACUAAGUAACACACAUGAGUAAAAGCCUUACAAUAGGAAUAGUCUGCUCUAAGUACCAUGGUUUAGAAACUAUUGUAUUAGUGGAAAGAUUCCCCAGUAGACUAGCAACAACAGGAAACACAUGGGACAGGGUGGGGUUUGGGGAGCCAGAGAAGACAGGCAUAUUUAUUUAGUCUAGAGACUACACUGCAAUGAGAAAAUUAAUAAGUAUUUCCCCGUGUCUCCUGGAUGUAGAAGGUGGAGCAAUAACCCUGAAUUGCGUAUAGAUUAGAUGGUUUGAGUGUGUGGAUGGUAAGGGCAAGAAUGCUUUAUGUAGGAAAGAGUACAGCAUCUCCUAGAAAAAGACUUUUGUUAGGAAACUUUCAGACAGAGUUCUUGCUGUUGGGAAUGAACUAGAUAAUCUUAAAAGAUUCCUUCUAGCUGUAUUCUCUAUUGUUUUAUCUGUAAGAGCUGAGCAUCCAGCUCCUGUUCUCAACUAGUUUUAAAAAAGCUUGUGAUACAGUCUUGGCCUGAUGUAUAUAACGGCUCACCAGCUUAGAUCAUUAAUUUCCUGCUGUGGUCCUCAUCUACACAAUGUAUGCCAUUCUUACCACAGUCAAUACUGCUGUCUUCACUGAUCUCUCCAGCACUGUUGCCAAAAGCCCAUGUUUUCUGUCCUACCUUGUGUUUGUCUCUCUGGCAUAUUAGUGGAGGCCAGAUUCCUUUUCCAAAGCCAUAGCUGUUUGGCUUUUCUAACCAUGGCUUCUUUCAUCAGCAGCUCUGCAUCAGUGACACAAUAUAAAGUUCCAUAAAUUGCCACGGAGGCACCCCGUAGGUUAAUUUAAGGGACAACAAGGUCCAAAACAACUUUUAUUAAACUGGUGAGAAACAGGGUUUUAGCACUCCAAAAGUGACUUAAAUAAAGUUUUGGAUAUCAGUCUAGGAAAAUUAUUUAAGAGGCAGCAACCAAUACAACAGGCGGUCCACAGUGUGCAUGCACGUGGCUUCACCCAAAACAAUGGCGGAGCCGUCCCUGAGUCCCAGAGAAGUACACACUUGCCUAAACACAGUGUGGGAUUAUUUUUAAAGAGAUACACGUACUCGUAGUGAGUACGGAAAGUCAGUACACUUGUGAUUGUGCGAGGGUAAAUUUAUAAUACACCCGCAAUCCUG